Molecule: ribosomal RNA, 468 nt
Filed under: uncultured bacterium
Lineage: Bacteria
Description: partial 16S ribosomal RNA
Rfam family: Bacterial small subunit ribosomal RNA
Source: RNAcentral
GACGAACGCUGGCGGCGUGCUUAACACAUGCAGGUCGAACGGAAAGGCCCUGCUUUUGUGGGGUGCUCGAGUGGCGAACGGGUGAGUAACACGUGAGUAACCUGCCCUUGACUUUGGGAUAACUUCAGGAAACUGGGGCUAAUACCGGAUAGGAGCUCCUGCUGCAUGGUGGGGGUUGGAAAGUUUCGGCGGUUGGGGAUGGACUCGCGGCUUAUCAGCUUGUUGGUGGGGUAGUGGCUUACCAAGGCUUUGACGGGUAGCCGGCCUGAGAGGGUGACCGGCCACAUUGGGACUGAGAUACGACCCAGACUCCUACGGGAGGCAGCAGUGGGGAAUAUUGCACAAUGGGCGGAAGCCUGAUGCAGCAACGCCGCGUGCGGGAUGACGGCCUUCGGGUUGUAAACCGCUUUCGCCUGUGACGAAGCGUGAGUGACGGUAAUGGGUAAAGAAGCACCGGCUAACUACGUG